AGGUUGUUUGAGGCACGGGUAAGAUCUCCAUCAACAGAUCUAGAGGAAAGGCUGCUUGAGGAUAGAUCUGCAAGGUCUAUCUCCAUCUACCUUCUUCCCUAUCUAUAGUACUCUGAUUUGAGAUCUAUAAAUUAGAAGACCUUGAUCCAGGCCUUAUCUAGUUUGGUACCAGAUCUUGGAUUUUUUAGAGGUGAUCUUAGAGGCGUUCUUCAUCUGGAACAAAAGGCUGAUGAAGAAGACAGCAACCAGGCUAUUUUCGUCAAGAGCCUUUGAUCGAGUUCAGAAGUCUCCAGAUGUAUUCGUUGCUGGUUUUGCUACACC
This 321-nucleotide long non-coding RNA is filed under the name Elaeis guineensis (African oil palm). RNAcentral's name for it is "long non-coding RNA (EGUI_LNC066442)". Lineage: Eukaryota; Viridiplantae; Streptophyta; Magnoliopsida; Arecales; Arecaceae. The record is from RNAcentral.